CCUACGGGGGGCAGCAGUGAGGAAUAUUGGUCAAUGGCCGGGAGGCUGAACCAGCCAAGUCGCGUGAGGGAAGACGGCCCUACGGGUUGUAAACCUCUUUUGUCAGGGAGCAAGGUGCAGGUCGGGACCUGCUGUGAGAGUACCUGAAGAAAAAGCAUCGGCUAACUCCGUGCCAGCAGCCGCGGUAAUACGGAGGAUGCGAGCGUUAUCCGGAUUUAUUGGGUUUAAAGGGUGCGCAGGCGGAGGCCAAAGUCAGCGGUAAAAUCGCGGGGCUCAACCCCGAUCGGCCGUUGAAACUGUGUGCCUUGAGAGCACGUAGGGUAGGCGGAAUGCGUGGUGUAGCGGUGAAAUGCAUAGAUAUCACACAGAACUCCGAGCGCGAAGGCAGCCUACCAAGGCACAACUGACGCUCAUGCACGAAAGCGUGGGUAUCGAACAGGAUUAGAUACCCCUGUAGUC
Molecule: ribosomal RNA, 459 nt
Filed under: uncultured bacterium
Lineage: Bacteria
Description: partial 16S ribosomal RNA
Rfam family: Bacterial small subunit ribosomal RNA
Source: RNAcentral